AAAAAAUUCAUAUUACAAGAACACAUUGGUAUUGAAGGAACUAGAUACCGUUCCGAAAUAUCACUUACUCGAACCGUCCUGACCGCGUAGCUCAGUUGGAAGGGCAUUGGGCUAGUAUUCCAAAGGUCGUAGGUUCGAAUCCCACCGUGGCCGGGCAUAUUUUUCAAGCUCGCCCGGUGUGGAUAUACACUCAGAGUAACACCACAAAUAUCAUAUUCACCUGAGUACACUACACCAACACAGAAAAAAAAAAAAAAUUCAUAUUACUAGAAUACAUUGGUAUCGAAGGAACUAGAUUCUGUUCCGAAAUAUCACUUACUCGAACCGUCCUGACCGCGUAGCUCAGUUGGAAGAGCAUUGGGCUAGUAUCCAAAGGUCGUAGGUUCGAAUCCCACCGUGGCCGGGCAUAUUUUUCAAGCUCGCCCGGUGUGGAUAUGCACUCAGAGUAACAUCACAAAACAUAUUAUUCACCUGAGUACACAACACCAGCACAGAAAAAAAAAUUCAUAUUACAAGAACACAUUGGUAUUGAAGGAACUAGAUACUGUUCCGAAAUAUCACUUACUCGAACCGUCCUGACCGCGUAGCUCAGUUGGAAGAGCAUUGGGCUAAUACUCCAAAGUCGUAGGUUCGAAUCCCACCGUGGCCGGGCAUAUUUUUCAAGCUCGCCCGGUGUGGAUAAGCAC
Non-coding RNA from Paramuricea clavata, 686 nucleotides. NCBI's taxonomy places the organism in Eukaryota, Metazoa, Cnidaria, Anthozoa, Malacalcyonacea, Plexauridae. The record is from the annotation of a GenBank genome assembly.